RNAcentral lists this ribosomal RNA (375 nucleotides) under uncultured bacterium. Its description in RNAcentral is "partial 16S ribosomal RNA". It matches the Rfam family "Bacterial small subunit ribosomal RNA", at positions 338 to 727 of the family's 1533-position model. The record is from RNAcentral.
CCUACGGGUGGCAGCAGUGGGGAAUAUUGGGCAAUGGAGGAAACUCUGACCCAGCAACGCCGCGUGAAUGAUGAAGGUCUUCGGAUUGUAAAGUUCUUUUCUAAGGGAAGAAGAAAGUGACGGUACCUUAGGAAUAAGCCUCGGCUAACUACGUGCCAGCAGCCGCGGUAAUACGUAGGAGGCGAGCGUUAUCCGGAAUGACUGGGCGUAAAGGGUGCGUAGGUGGUUUGACAAGUUAGUAGCGAAACUCCAAGGCUGAACCUUGGAACUGCUACAGAAACUGUUGGACGUGAGUGCAGGAGAGGAGAGGGGAACUCCAAGUGUAGGGGGGGAAUGCGUAGAUAUAAGGAGGAACACCAGGGGCGAAGGAGGGUU